Oxyura jamaicensis (ruddy duck) is the source of this 1238-nucleotide long non-coding RNA. RefSeq lists it as uncharacterized. NCBI's taxonomy places the organism in Eukaryota, Metazoa, Chordata, Aves, Anseriformes, Anatidae. The transcript is spliced from 2 exons. The record is from RefSeq and is a predicted model, not a curated record.
UCUAGGUCCUUGUCAAACAUGAAAGAAGGCUCUGUCUGAGAAAUUCAUUAACCAAAUUAGACAUAAAAUAAUGAGAGGAUGAGAAGAAGGCAGCCAGGAAUGGGGGUGGGUGGGGGGAAGCAUGGACAAGGAUAGCUAGAGACAGUUUUCUGCAAGGGUAGCUGAUUGAAACAAUGGUAUGGUACCUUGACUAAUGUAGAGCUAAUUAAAAUUGUAUAGGACAAAGCACUAUCAAACAUACUAUAGGGAACAAUCUUUCUAUGGUAAAUCCAUCCCCGAUGAAAUUCCAUUGACUUCAAUAGGUUUUCUUCUGGGAUGAAUUUGGCCUGAUAACCUAAUAAGUCUUUUCUGCCACUAAUUUAUAAGGUCCUUUUGUCAGAAGCAUAGCAAGAAACUUCAGUCUGGAUUUCAAAAGUGCUGAACACCCAAAACUCCUACAAAGGUCUCAGUGAAUCAGAGAGACCUGGACACCUGCUCCAGCAAACAUGGGGCCAUGACAGUGCCCAGAUAGGAUAGUCCAGGCAAUGCAAUGCACCAAGUUAUAAGCCAAGUGAAGUCCUGCCCACCUAUCUAUUACACCAAGAUGCUUUCACUGGAUCUACUGCUUCUCAUCUCUUUGAUGCUGCUGCUCCAACCCUUAUAUCAAAACAGGACCAAGAACUGGUCCUUGAAGACUGGCACUCAUAAUUCAUCACCCGAGGGGCUCCAGCUGUUCUUAUGUUUGCCGGUGCUGACUGACUCAAUUCAAGAUUGCCUACUUGUGUGCAUGGGGCAAAUGGCAACUUAAAAUUUACAAUUUCCUGACUUCCCACUGCCUCUUCUUGCAACAUCUAUGUUGUUACAACAUCUGAUAUAAAACCAGAACGAUAUAUAAGUAUGAAAAUGAUUCCCUUAAAUGAACAAGGAGUAUAGCAGACAACGAAGAAAAGUACAGAGGAUUAAAUGUGCAUCAUAGAGGGAAUACAUUGUAUUAACUAAAUGCAAACAUAUUUUCUUGGGUUUUGUGUUUUGGAAUGAAAAUGAAUGGGACAGAUCAGCAGAACAGGGAUACCCCUGGUGAAACUUCACUUAAGUCAGUAGAGUUACACCAGGGAUACAUUUGGCUGAUUCUUUUGCUAACGGCUGUAUGAAAACUUUAAUAUAGAGUUUCUGCAUGUGUGAAGUGUAUGCCAAGACAAAUGCAACAUGCUAAAUGGAACCUCCUGAUUUAUUUAAAUUAAAAAUGCAUUACAAAAAAA